RNAcentral lists this unclassified non-coding RNA (254 nucleotides) under uncultured fungus. Its description in RNAcentral is "partial contains small subunit ribosomal RNA, internal transcribed spacer 1, and 5.8S ribosomal RNA". The stretch from base 1 to 73 matches the Rfam family "Eukaryotic small subunit ribosomal RNA", at positions 1759 to 1831 of the family's 1831-position model. Lineage: Eukaryota; Fungi. The record is from RNAcentral.
GCAAACUUGGUCAUUUAGAGGAAGUAAAAGUCGUAACAAGGUUUCCGUAGGUGAACCUGCGGAAGGAUCAUUAACAAAUCCUUUAUGUAUGUGUAAUGUGUGUUCUCAUCACAUUUACAUAUAUUUGUUCCGUGUGCAUUCAUGUGAUGUACACUGUGACAUUUCUACGAAUCAUCUGAUUGGUUUAAAUGAAUGCAUAAUAAUCAACUUUUAACAAUGGAUCUCUAGGCUCUUGCAUCGAUGAAGAACGCAGC